UACGUAGGUGACAAGCGUUGUCCGGAUUUACUGGGCGUAAAGAGCGCGCAGGCGGUCGUUCAAGUCGAGUGUGAAAGCCCCCGGCUCAACUGGGGAGGGUCAUUCGAUACUGAUCGACUCGAAGGCAGGAGAGGGAAGUGGAAUUCCCGGUGUAGUGGUGAAAUGCGUAGAUAUCGGAAGGAACACCGAUGGCGAAAGCAGCGUGCUGGACCUUUUCUGACGCUGAGGCGCGAAAGCCAGGGGAGCAAACGGG
This 253-nucleotide ribosomal RNA is filed under the name uncultured bacterium. Its description in RNAcentral is "partial 16S ribosomal RNA". It matches the Rfam family "Bacterial small subunit ribosomal RNA", at positions 524 to 776 of the family's 1533-position model. The record is from RNAcentral.